UUUGCAAUUAUGGCAAUUUUGACCCAUCCUGCGAGAGCUGGCUUGCCGGCUAUGGCGAUAAACGCGUUGCGGAAUAAGCGUUGCGGACCCGGGGGCAGUGCCCGGCGCCUCCACCAAUUAUCUCCCCUCGCCAUCCAUCCCUUGGGAUCAUGGCGCGAGGGGAAUUUAGGGGGGCGAAACAGGAUCGACGUGCGUAGUAAAGGCAAUGGCUUUCGCUCGGUGGGGUACCGCCGAUACCGGUCCAUUUAUAAUAGUUGCUAAUGACAACUAUGCUCCGGUUCGUGCCGCUGCUUAAUGCAGUCGUACAACCGACACUUUAAGUCCUAGGUGUUAGCCCACUUAGGCGGGGUUCGGGAGGCGCCUGGCAACAGAAGCCUCCCA
Molecule: transfer-messenger RNA, 381 nt
Filed under: marine eukaryotic metagenome
Description: Alphaproteobacteria transfer-messenger RNA
Rfam family: Alphaproteobacteria transfer-messenger RNA
About the family: Bacterial tmRNA, also known as 10Sa RNA or SsrA, is named for its dual tRNA and mRNA-like properties. Its role is to liberate the mRNA from a stalled ribosome. To accomplish this part of the tmRNA is used as a reading frame that ends in a translation stop signal.
Source: RNAcentral